UCCGGUUUGGCACCGGCAGUCCUCCCAGAGUCCUCGCCUUGACGCGCUGGCAACUGGGAGCGGGGGUUGCGCUCGUUGCGGGACUUAACCCAACAUCUCACGACACGAGCUGACGACAGCCAUGCACCACCUGUGAUCCUGCCCCUAAGGGAGGCCCUGUUUCCAGGGCGGUCAGGAACAUGUCAAACCCAGGUAAGGUUCUUCGCGUUGCGUCGAAUUAAACCACAUGCUCCGCUGCUUGUGCGGGUCCCCGUCAAUUCCUUUGAGUUUUAGCCUUGCGGCCGUACUUCCCAGGCGGGGCACUUAAUGCGUUAGCUACGGCACGGAGCCCGUCGAUCGAGCCCCACACCUAGUGCCCAACGUUUACGGCGUGGACUAC
Molecule: unclassified non-coding RNA, 379 nt
Filed under: uncultured Actinomycetes bacterium
Lineage: Bacteria; Bacillati; Actinomycetota; Actinomycetes
Description: uncultured actinobacterium contains 16S-23S intergenic spacer region
Source: RNAcentral